RNAcentral lists this ribosomal RNA (441 nucleotides) under uncultured bacterium. RNAcentral's name for it is "partial 16S ribosomal RNA". It matches the Rfam family "Bacterial small subunit ribosomal RNA", at positions 338 to 795 of the family's 1533-position model. The record is from RNAcentral.
CCUACGGGAGGCAGCAGUGGGGGAUAUUGCACAAUGGGGGAAACCCUGAUGCAGCGACGCCGCGUGGGUGAAGAAGUAUUUCGGUAUGUAAAGCCCUAUCAGCAGGGAAGAAAGAAGACGGUACCUGACUAAGAAGCCCCGGCUAACUACGUGCCAGCAGCCGCGGUAAUACGUAGGGGGCGAGCGUUAUCCGGAUUCACUGGGUGUAAAGGGAGCGUAGACGGCCGUGCAAGCCAGGAGUGAAAGCCCGGGGCCCAACCCCGGGACUGCUCUUGGAACUGUGCGGCUGGAGUGCGGGAGGGGCAGGCGGAAUGCCUGGUGUAGCGGUGAAAUGCGUAGAUAUCAGGAGGAACACCGGCGGCGAAGGCGGCCUGCUGGACCGCGACUGACGUUGAGGCUCGAAAGCGUGGGGAGCGAACAGGAUUAGAUACCCUUGUAGUC